RNAcentral lists this small RNA (107 nucleotides) under Marmota monax (woodchuck). Lineage: Eukaryota; Metazoa; Chordata; Mammalia; Rodentia; Sciuridae. The record is from RNAcentral.
GCCAGGCACAGUGGCCCACACCUGUAAUCCCAGCAACUUGGGAGGCUGAGACAGGAGGAUAGCAAGGUCAAGGACAACCUCAGCAACUUAGUGAGACCCUGUCUCAA